CCUACGGGUGGCUGCAGUGGGGAAUAUUGGACAAUGGGCGCAAGCCUGAUCCAGCAAUGCCGCGUGUGUGAAGAAGGCCUGCGGGUUGUAAAGCACUUUAAGCCGGAAAGAAGGCUGCAAGGCUAAUAUCCUUGUAGAUUGACGUUACCGGCAGAAUAAGCACCGGCUAACUCCGUGCCAGCAGCCGCGGUAAUACGGAGGGUGCGAGCGUUAAUCGGAAUUCGUGGAGGUGGUUCGCGGUGUGGCCGUUGAAAGCCCUGGGCUUAACCUGGGAACUGCAGUGGAAACUGGCGGGCUAGAGUAUGGUAGAGGAGGGUGGAAUUUCCGGUGUAGCAGUGAAAUGCGUAGAGAUCGGAAGGAACACCAGUGGCGAAGGCGGCUCUCUGGACCAAUACUGACGCUGAGGUGCGAAAGCGUGGGGAGCAAACAGGAUUAGAUACCCCAGUAGUC
RNAcentral lists this ribosomal RNA (450 nucleotides) under uncultured bacterium. Its description in RNAcentral is "partial 16S ribosomal RNA". It matches the Rfam family "Bacterial small subunit ribosomal RNA", at positions 338 to 795 of the family's 1533-position model. The record is from RNAcentral.